UUCGCAGGCGGUCUGAUAAGUCAGAUGUGAAAGGCUAUGGCUUAACCAUAGUAAGCAUUUGAAACUGUCAGACUUGAGUUAAGGAGAGGAAAGUGGAAUUCCUAGUGUAGCGGUGAAAUGCGUAGAUAUUAGGAGGAAUACCAGUGGCGAAAGGCGACUUUCUGGACUUAUACUGACGCUGAGGAACGAAAGCGUGGGGAGCAAACAG
Molecule: ribosomal RNA, 208 nt
Filed under: uncultured Eubacteriales bacterium
Lineage: Bacteria; Bacillati; Bacillota; Clostridia; Eubacteriales
Description: uncultured Clostridiales bacterium partial 16S ribosomal RNA
Rfam family: Bacterial small subunit ribosomal RNA
Source: RNAcentral